Molecule: ribosomal RNA, 253 nt
Filed under: uncultured Eubacteriales bacterium
Lineage: Bacteria; Bacillati; Bacillota; Clostridia; Eubacteriales
Description: uncultured Clostridiales bacterium partial 16S ribosomal RNA
Rfam family: Bacterial small subunit ribosomal RNA
Source: RNAcentral
UACGUAGGGGGCAAGCGUUGUCCGGAAUGACUGGGCGUAAAGGGAGUGUAGGCGGCCUUGCAAGUUAGAUGUGAAAUCCUACGGCUUAACCGUAGAACUGCAUCUAAAACUGUGAGGCUGGAGUGCAGGAGAGGGCGGUGGAACUCCAUGUGUAGCGGUAAAAUGCGUAGAUAUAUGGAAGAACACCAGUGGCGAAGGCGGCCGCCUGGCCUGUUGCUGACGCUGAGGCACGAAAGCGUGGGGAGCAAAUAGG